RNAcentral lists this ribosomal RNA (351 nucleotides) under uncultured bacterium. RNAcentral's name for it is "bacterial SSU rRNA". It matches the Rfam family "Bacterial small subunit ribosomal RNA", at positions 8 to 349 of the family's 1533-position model. The record is from RNAcentral.
AGAGUUUGAUCAUGGCUCAGGAUGAACGCUAGCUACAGGCUUAACACAUGCAAGUCGAGGGGAAACGACAUCGAAAGCUUGCUUUUGAUGGGCGUCGACCGGCGCACGGGUGAGUAACGCGUAUCCAACCUGCCCAUCACUUGGGGAUAACCUUGCGAAAGUAAGACUAAUACCCAAUGACGUCUCUAGAAGACAUCUGAAAGAGAUUAAAGAUUUAUCGGUGAUGGAUGGGGAUGCGUCUGAUUAGCUUGUUGGCGGGGUAACGGCCCACCAAGGCGACGAUCGAGUAGGGGUUCUGAGAGGAAGGUCCCCANAUUGGAACUGAGACACGGUCAAACUCCUACGGGAGCA